Molecule: transfer RNA, 72 nt
Filed under: Thermoplasmatota archaeon
Lineage: Archaea; Methanobacteriati; Thermoplasmatota
Description: Candidatus Thermoplasmatota archaeon tRNA-Gly
Rfam family: tRNA
About the family: Transfer RNA (tRNA) molecules are approximately 80 nucleotides in length. Their secondary structure includes four short double-helical elements and three loops (D, anti-codon, and T loops). Further hydrogen bonds mediate the characteristic L-shaped molecular structure. tRNAs have two regions of fundamental functional importance: the anti-codon, which is responsible for specific mRNA codon recognition, and the 3' end, to which the tRNAs corresponding amino acid is attached (by aminoacyl-tRNA synthetases). tRNAs cope with the degeneracy of the genetic code in two manners: having more than one tRNA (with a specific anti-codon) for a particular amino acid; and 'wobble' base-pairing, i.e. permitting non-standard base-pairing at the 3rd anti-codon position.
Source: RNAcentral
GCGGGUGUGAUCUAGGGGUUAUGAUUAAGGCCUUCCAAGCCUUCUGCCCGGGUUCAAAUCCCGGCGCCCGCA